CUUUAACAAGGUUAUCUAAAUUCCUGAAAAUUUACAAUUGGAUCUUAAGAGCCAGUACAGGCUAAGUCCAGCACACCAGUACUCACAUGUGUACUUUUGUGACCAUUUACUGCUUCUUAUCUUAAAUUGUCACCAACCCCAAAACAAAUCGGCAGAGAAAUCAAAAGUAAUUUACCUGUGAAUAGUACUCUUAGCUUAAUUUGUAAGUUUUAAGUGGUUGAUUUAAAGUUGAAGACUUCUCUCUAUGUAUACUCUAUGUUCUUCCCCUUAACUUCGGUCACUUGUGUUGAAUAUUAACCUUUUAAAAUUACUGUUAGUAUAUAUGACACCCUUGAUGGUUAUUCGAAAACAUUGAAGGUACUUUUUUCCCAUUUGUGGAGAGUUUAAGCCUAACUGUACAACUUUUCCUAGUUUUUUACUAAAGAUGUCAUUGUGCCCUCGCCCUGGACCGAUCAUGAUGGAAAACAGCCUUCCGAGCUUCAUCCCAGUAAAUGCCUAACUAGCAAUGGUGACUCUCCUGUUGGGAAAAAGCCGAGUCUCCCUUCUCAGAAAUGCAAUGCUGCCUGCCAGACUCUGUUGUCUCUUCCUGUGGAUUUUAAUUUGGAAGCCGUAUUAGGAGACUACUUUAGAGCGGAUGACUCUGUGGACCAAUCUCCCGGGAACCUCAGUUCUUCGUCUCUCAGGAGAAAGCUCUUUUUAGACGUGAAUGGGAGCAUCUCCGACUCCUUACCUUCAGCUUCUCCCAGAAGUCCUCCCAACAGUGCCCGAGGAUCUCUUGAGGGACAGUUUUCUUCCAGCCCCAUUCAGAACAAUGCAAAAAAGUACAGUUUGGGAAGCUUAACCACCAGCCCAU
Molecule: long non-coding RNA, 853 nt
Filed under: Rattus norvegicus (Norway rat)
Lineage: Eukaryota; Metazoa; Chordata; Mammalia; Rodentia; Muridae
Description: long non-coding RNA NONRATT010639
Source: RNAcentral